GGGGGCUUAGCUCAGCUGGGAGAGCACAUCCCUUGCACGGAUGGGGUCAGGGGUUCGAAUCCCCUAGCCUCCACCA
Molecule: transfer RNA, 76 nt
Filed under: Armatimonadota bacterium
Lineage: Bacteria; Bacillati; Armatimonadota
Description: Armatimonadetes bacterium (anaerobic digester metagenome) tRNA-Ala
Rfam family: tRNA
About the family: Transfer RNA (tRNA) molecules are approximately 80 nucleotides in length. Their secondary structure includes four short double-helical elements and three loops (D, anti-codon, and T loops).
Source: RNAcentral